Molecule: long non-coding RNA, 229 nt
Organism: Bombyx mandarina (wild silkworm)
Lineage: Eukaryota; Metazoa; Arthropoda; Insecta; Lepidoptera; Bombycidae
Source: RefSeq, a predicted model, not a curated record
UGUAUACAGUUUCCUCGAGGUCACCAUUAAGGAACACCGUUUUGACAUCCAGGUGCUCAAUGGACAGGACAUGUUCAGCUGCUAAAGCAAGUAAAAUCCUAAUUGUGGAGUACCUUACCACUGGUGAAAAAGUCUCUUGGUAAUCAAUACCGUACUUCUGUGUGUAACCCUUGGCAACUAAACGAGCUUUAUAUUUUAGUAACUCUCCAUCUGCUCCAUAUUUUCUUUU